AUUGAACGCUGGCGGUAGGCCUAACACAUGCAAGUCGAGCGGAUGAAGGGAGCUUGCUCCUGGAUUCAGCGGCGGACGGGUGAGUAAUGCCUAGGAAUCUGCCUGGUAGUGGGGGGUAACGUCCGGAAACGGGCGCUAAUACCGCAUACGUCCUGAGGGAGAAAGUGGGGGAUCUUCGGACCUCACGCUAUCAGAUGAGCCUAGGUCGGAUUAGCUAGUUGGUGGGGUAAAGGCCUACCAAGGCGACGAUCCGUAACUGGUCUGAGAGGAUGAUCAGUCACACUGGAACUGAGACACGGUCCAGACUCCUACGGGAGGCAGCAGUGGGGAAUAUUGGACAAUGGGCGAAAGCCUGAUCCAGCCAUGCCGCGUGUGUGAAGAAGGUCUUCGGAUUGUAAAGCACUUUAAGUUGGGAGGAAGGGCAGUAAGUUAAUACCUUGCUGUUUUGACGUUACCAACAGAAUAAGCACCGGCUAACUUCGUG
Molecule: ribosomal RNA, 484 nt
Filed under: uncultured bacterium
Lineage: Bacteria
Description: partial 16S ribosomal RNA
Rfam family: Bacterial small subunit ribosomal RNA
Source: RNAcentral